RNAcentral lists this ribosomal RNA (465 nucleotides) under uncultured Klebsiella sp. Its description in RNAcentral is "bacterial SSU rRNA". It matches the Rfam family "Bacterial small subunit ribosomal RNA", at positions 338 to 795 of the family's 1533-position model. Lineage: Bacteria; Pseudomonadati; Pseudomonadota; Gammaproteobacteria; Enterobacterales; Enterobacteriaceae. The record is from RNAcentral.
CCUACGGGUGGCAGCAGUGGGGAAUAUUGCACAAUGGGCGCAAGCCUGAUGCAGCCAUGCCGCGUGUGUGAAGAAGGCCUUCGGGUUGUAAAGCACUUUCAGCGGGGAGGAAGGCGGUGAGGUUAAUAACCUCAUCGAUUGACGUUACCCGCAGAAGAAGCACCGGCUAACUCCGUGCCAGCAGCCGCGGUAAUACGGAGGGUGCAAGCGUUAAUCGGAAUUACUGGGCGUAAAGCGCACGCAGGCGGUCUGUCAAGUCGGAUGUGAAAUCCCCGGGCUCAACCUGGGAAGUGCAUUCGAAACUGGCAGGCUAGAGUCUUGUAGAGGGGGGUAGAAUUCCAGGUGUAGCGGUGAAAUGCGUAGAGAUCUGGAGGAAUACCGGUGGCGAAGGCGGCCCCCUGGACAAAGACUGACGCUCAGGUGCGAAAGCGUGGGGAGCAAACAGGAUUAGAUACCCGGGUAGUC